This is a long non-coding RNA of Lutra lutra (Eurasian river otter), 1401 nucleotides long. RefSeq lists it as uncharacterized. The transcript has 5 exons. Lineage: Eukaryota; Metazoa; Chordata; Mammalia; Carnivora; Mustelidae. The record is from RefSeq and is a predicted model, not a curated record.
UAAUACAACAGCAGCUCGGCGCACGCUCAGACUUCAGUGUCUUUUGCUCCUGUUUCAGCCCGCUGGUUCUCUGCCUUUACUGGGCACAGAUCGGCUGAGGUGCUUGUUCAAUGCAAAGUCCCAGGCUCCAUCCUAGACAUCUAAAGCAGGAGCUUUAUAAUAGGGCCCCAGAAUCUUCGUUUUAACAAAUUUUUCCGGGUAAACUGGAGUAUGUAAUAUGCAGCCCACACGUUAAGAAACAAUGCUCAACUACCCCAAUCAUACUAGAAGAUAAUUCAGUGCCUGUCUCACUAUAGGAACCACAUGCAAUUCUCUGAGUCUUGACUAAGAAGACAUAUAUAGGAGAUAAUAAUAUGGUUCAAGUUCAAGGAGUGAAGCAAAGACAAAUAUGAAAGAAAGAACGAGUAAUGAAGUUGAUAACCUAGAAAGCAAGGACCAGGAGAGCAUGGUGUUAGUGUCUCAGAUCUAAAGAUGAACUUAUUUUAAAUGAUGGGCAGAAGAAUCAAUGUGGGCUGACGUCAAAACACAAGGAUUUCAAUAGACAACAAAACAUGCUGGCAGGGAGAGUCUCAGACACCGUACUAAACAGUGUUAUCAGGAGAGAAGUUGAGGAGUCUCCUCUUUUGUCAUUCUCCGAGAACGAAGACAUUCUCAAAAUGUCUGGUACAGAAAAGAAGAAUCCUGUUUUGUAAACAAGUGGUCUGAGAUUUCAUGCUGGGAUUAUAGGAGUAUAACCCUUAAUAUUCUUAGAUCUAUAAUCAUAUUUAAUUUUUUUUUCUCUGUUUACAUAUCCUCCUUUAUUUAUUCCUUCCAUAGUCUUGAUCCCUCUGUCUGUGUUCCUAACUACUUUAUCACAUUACUGCUUAAAGAAUUAGGGAAGGACUAGGACUUGGUCUCUGGCCUCCUGCUUGAGCCAGUGCUACUAAAGACCACUUGUCACGGGGUCUUCGCUAAAGGUCUGCCUCAUGGUGAAAAGCCAACACAAAUCCGUCUUGUGCCAAACUUCUUUCUUCAGAAAAUGACUAAUGUUACCUGUCUGCUUGGGUUUCUGAAUAUUGCUCAUCUCGAACUCCCCAUUACAGUGUGGUGAUGCUUGGGGCUUCGCUGUGGAAUCCUUACUGUUGCAUAUUUUCCUGCUCUGCAACCAAUGAUUUCUGUAACUCUCUUGGAAACCAAGUUCAUAGAUUCCACGCUCUCUUCAACCACUUCACACUGAAAAUACUUUGUAAACAACACCUGAAGCUCUUUUUAUUCCUCCUAAAAAUUACUCUGCACUGGUGGGAGGCUAAAGUCCCAGGAUGUUGACUUCCUCUCUUCCAGGUUGUGAUGUCAUCAACAUCUGUCUGUACUUUAAUAACAUUUGUGAUAUGACCUAUAACUACUGCCUUUCUUACACUAAAG